This 253-nucleotide ribosomal RNA is filed under the name uncultured bacterium. RNAcentral describes it as "partial 16S ribosomal RNA". It matches the Rfam family "Bacterial small subunit ribosomal RNA", at positions 524 to 776 of the family's 1533-position model. The record is from RNAcentral.
UACGUAGGUGGCAAGCGUUGUCCGGAAUUAUUGGGCGUAAAGCGCGCGCAGGCGGCCUCUUAAGUCUGAUGUGAAAACCCCCGGCUCAACCGGGGAGGGCCAUUGGAAACUGGGAGGCUUGAGUAUAGGAGAGAAGAGUGGAAUUCCACGUGUAGCGGUGAAAUGCGUAGAGAUGUGGAGGAACACCAGUGGCGAAGGCGACUCUUUGGCCUAUAACUGACGCUGAGGCGCGAAAGCGUGGGGAGCAAACAGG